The sequence is a non-coding RNA, 206 nucleotides long. It matches the Rfam family "HNH endonuclease-associated RNA and ORF (HEARO) RNA". The record is from Rfam.
GUCAACAACCGAACGACUCAAGUCGUGGGUUUGAAUGCCCCAUGUUGACCAGACCAAGACUUGAAACAUAGUUUACGUUAGCGAUGUCAUGAUACGUCGGGGUGCUUCUCCAGCCCCGUCGUCGUGUAAGAUUAAACAAAUGUGGUAGGUCACAUUCGUGUCUUGUACACGACAAGCAUCGAUAACACGGUCAAGGAGAACAUCAC